AUUGAACGCUGGCGGCAUGCUUUACACAUGCAAGUCGAACGGUAACAGGCCUUCGGGUGCUGACGAGUGGCGAACGGGUGAGUAAUGCAUCGGAACGUACCCAGAGGUGGGGGAUAACGCAGCGAAAGCUGUGCUAAUACCGCAUGUGAUCUGAGGAUGAAAGCGGGGGACCGAGCAGCAAUGUUUGGCCUCGCGCCUUUGGAGCGGCCGAUGUCGGAUUAGCUAGUUGGUGGGGUAAAGGCCUACCAAGGCGACGAUCCGUAGCUGGUCUGAGAGGACGAACAGCCAAACUGGGAAUGAGGCACGGCCCAGGCUCCUACGGGAGGCAGCAGUGGGGAAUUUUGGACAAUGGGCGCAAGCCUGGUCCAGCAAUGGCGCGUGCGGGAAGAAGGCCUUCGGGUUGUAAACCGCUUUUGGCAGGAACGAAACGGUGUCCGCUAAUACCGGGCGCUAAUGACGGUACCUGCAGAAUAAGCACCGGCUAACUACGUG
RNAcentral lists this ribosomal RNA (492 nucleotides) under uncultured bacterium. RNAcentral describes it as "partial 16S ribosomal RNA". It matches the Rfam family "Bacterial small subunit ribosomal RNA", at positions 29 to 507 of the family's 1533-position model. The record is from RNAcentral.